This 253-nucleotide ribosomal RNA is filed under the name uncultured bacterium. RNAcentral's name for it is "partial 16S ribosomal RNA". It matches the Rfam family "Bacterial small subunit ribosomal RNA", at positions 524 to 776 of the family's 1533-position model. The record is from RNAcentral.
UACGGAGGAUGCAAGCGUUAUCCGGAAUGAUUGGGCGUAAAGGGUCCGCAGGUGGCAGUGUAAGUCUGCUGUCAAAGAAUGAGGCUUAACCUCAUCAAGGCAGUGGAAACUACACAGCUAGAGUACGGUCGGGGUAGAAGGAAUUCCUGGUGUAGCGGUGAAAUGCGUAGAGAUCCGGAGGAAGACCGGUGGCGAAGGCGGUCUGCUGGGCAGUUUCUGACACUGAGGCGCGACAGCGUGGGGAGCAAACAGG